GUGCUUUGUGUGCCCUGGGUCCUGCAGCAUGAAGAGAAUGUUGUACAAUAAGUUGCUGCACAUCCUUCAACUCAGAUGCACAAAAUCUGCAACACCUCAAGCUAAAACCAGAUGAGGUAGCUCCUGUUUCCUUUGUGCAGAGACAUCGCUCCAGCUGUCCACAGCUUGCUCAGUGACCCAGGAAAAUAUAUCCUAAAUCACAAUGCUUGGUACAAUAGUCCAUCCUUCAAGUAAUCGUAUAUCACAUGCACCACUCACAAGUUCCCCUCUGUGUUAAUCCACAGAGCAUAGGAGUUGUUACAGCUCCCAGCUACGCAGCCUGGCUCUGAACCUCAGCCUGCAACAACCUGGGCUUUUAGCUCUGGAGGCACCUACUUCAAUCCCAGUGUGUCAGCCAAGACAGAGGCCAUAACAAACUUCCCUAACAUGUUCCAGUCCUACCCCAGAGAGCUCCUUCUGAGGGCUGAACAACAUUACUCUGUACUGAACCACAGCAGAUGAAGAAAGUAAAAUUUCAUCAUCCUAGCAGUUCAGUGAAUACAAUUCCUGCAUUUAUCAAGUACCAGAUACCUGACACCAAGGCAAACAAACAGGCAAAUAUGAGUGUGUUGCUGUAUCUUUCAGCUCCCUCCUUACACAUCUCCCCAGGGGUAAAAAACCUUAUGAAUGCUAAAGUGUUCUCAUAAGGUUUUCUUUUUAGCUAGAUUAAUAGCUCUUUAGAGGGCUCCUUCACCACAGGCUCCUUUGGACACUGAUGUUUUGUUGAACUUGUACGCCCUUCCUCUGAAAUGGAGGUUUCUCGAUAACCAUUUACAACACUCAGUGCAUUGAUGUACAAGAGUGCAGAGCACCAGUCACAGAUUUCUGGAAGUGUGUCCUCAGCCAAAUCACAAAUAAACUCCUGAAAGAAGAAUGUGGUCAGACGUAGGGGAAUGACUUAACAGCUUUUAUUAAAAGGCUACUCUCAAAUAUCACUUAAACACUUCAUGGAACUUAGAAGCUUUUCUAUGUGAUCAGAAGAUCAUAGUCUAAUGCCUGAGUGUACAAUCUAGGAGAUUUUUCUCACCCUACCAUUCCAAUUUUCAGAAAGCACCGACUUGCUUUGGAAGAUCACAUCUUUGCGUUAAAAGUCUUAAAAACACAAUCCGAGCUCUUCUGAAAAAGUAUCUUUGGGAACACGAGGGGGUGUGUGAGUAUCUUCAAAGCUGUAGUUUGACUAACCCAGCCGCUGCUUAAAUCAUCAAACAGGCAUGCAUUUGGGACACAGAGGCACUACAGUCCUGGCGUAUUCAGCCCAGAAUCCUCAUGGUUAUGUGAAUAAUUAUCCCUUCAUACCGGCCUAGAAAUCUUGGACAGAAUUAGCAAUCACAGCAAGGGUGCUAAGAAAUAAUUUGUACCAUACAUCUGUUAGUGUCCCUUAGCCCAGCUGGAAUUUACAUGCUUUCCUCUCUAUCUUGGGUUUCUCAAAUUGUGUUGAUGUGUAUUUAAGCCGCAUGAACAUUUGAGGCGGUCACGCAGGGGGGAGAUGCAAACUCUGCUGGUACUUUGAUUCCAAAUCUCUUAUCAGGACGGGUAAGGAAAGAACACGUCAGUGGCAUUUGGUCUCCUGGUCUAAGUUUCUCUGGCUAACACACAAUGUGGUGGGUGAAAAGUGUGAGGUCAAGGCCAUCACAAGUGUGGAAGAACUCACAGACGACUCAGGCAAGCAUUCUCCAACAGGUAUC
Long non-coding RNA from Neopsephotus bourkii (Bourke's parrot), 1724 nucleotides. RefSeq lists it as uncharacterized. Lineage: Eukaryota; Metazoa; Chordata; Aves; Psittaciformes; Psittacidae. The record is from RefSeq and is a predicted model, not a curated record. The transcript has 6 exons.